RNAcentral lists this long non-coding RNA (801 nucleotides) under Vitis vinifera (wine grape). RNAcentral's name for it is "long non-coding RNA (VVIN_LNC002701)". The record is from RNAcentral. Lineage: Eukaryota; Viridiplantae; Streptophyta; Magnoliopsida; Vitales; Vitaceae.
UCUUCUUUCCUACCCAACAUCACUCACCAUCUCUGUCAUCCUAAACCUCCCAAUCAUUGCCCUAACAGUCAUGGUUGUGCUGCUCGGUCGCCUUAGAAAAUUAUACGACAACAACCUUCCCUACCCCACAUCUACACCAAAGUCAAGUUGAACCCUUCUCGGGUUUAUUCACCUUCUUCCCUACCCAACAUCACUCACCAUCUCUGUCAUCCUAAACCUCCCAAUUGUUGCCCUAACAGUCAUGGUUGUGCUGCUCGGUCGCCUUAGAAAAUUAUACGACAACAACCUUCCCCACCCCACAUCUGCACCAAAGUCAAGUUGAACCCUUCUCGGGUUUAUUCACCUUCUUCCCUACCCAACAUCAUUCACCAUCUCUGUCAUCCUAAACCUCCUAAUUGUUGCCCUAACAGUCAUGGUUGUGCUGCUCGGUCGCCUUAGAAAAUUAUACGACAACAACCUUCCCCACCCCGCAUCUACACCAAAGUCAAGUUGAACCCUUCUCGGGUUUAUUCACCUUCUUCCCUACCCAACAUCACUCACCAUCUCUGUCAUCCUAAACCUCCCAAUUGUUGCCCUAACAGUCAUGGUUGUGCUGCUCGGUCGCCUUAGAAAAUUAUACGACAACAACCUUCCCCACCCCCACAUCUACACCAAAGUCAAGUUGAACCAUUCUCGGGUUUAUUCACCUUCUUCCCUACCCAACAUCACUCACCAUCUCUGUCAUCCUAAACCUCCCCAAUCGUUGCCCUAACAGUCAUGGUUGUGCUGCUCAGUCGCCUUAGAAAAUUAUACGACAACAAC